RNAcentral lists this ribosomal RNA (497 nucleotides) under uncultured bacterium. RNAcentral describes it as "partial 16S ribosomal RNA". It matches the Rfam family "Bacterial small subunit ribosomal RNA", at positions 28 to 507 of the family's 1533-position model. The record is from RNAcentral.
GAUGAACGCUGGCGGCGUGCCUAAUACAUGCAAGUCGAGCGAACGGACGAGAAGCUUGCUUCUCUGAUGUUAGCGGCGGACGGGUGAGUAACACGUGGAUAACCUACCUAUAAGACUGGGAUAACUUCGGGAAACCGGAGCUAAUACCGGAUAAUAUUUUGAACCGCAUGGUUCAAAAGUGAAAGACGGUCUUGCUGUCACUUAUAGAUGGAUCCGCGCUGCAUUAGCUAGUUGGUAAGGUAACGGCUUACCAAGGCAACGAUGCAUAGCCGACCUGAGAGGGUGAUCGGCCACACUGGAACGGAGACACGGUCCAGACUCCUACGGGAGGCAGCAGUAGGGAAUCGUCCGCAGUGGGCGAAAGCCUGACGGAGCAACGCCGCGUGAGUGAUGAAGGUCUUCGGAUCGUAAAACUCUGUUAUUAGGGAAGAACAUAUGUGUAAGUAACUGUGCACAUCUUGACGGUACCUAAUCAGAAAGCCACGGCUAACUACGUG